AAGUCGUAACAAGGUUUCCGUAGGUGAACCUGCGGAAGGAUCAUUACCAGAAAGGAACCAGUUUCCUUGGGGCUUCGGCCCCAUCUCUUCGCCCCGUGUCUACCUACCUUUGUUGCUUUGGCGGGUUGCGGGCGUCCCCUUCGGCCUUCGGGUUUGCCGGCACUCGGUUCUUAGCGAGCCCUCCGGCUGGUCGCCCCCCGCCAGAAGCCCAGUAAAUUUCGUUUUUCAGCGUCGUCCGAGUUAUAAAACAUCAAUAGUUAAAAAAACUUUCAACAACGGAUCUCUUGGUUCUG
RNAcentral lists this unclassified non-coding RNA (293 nucleotides) under air metagenome. RNAcentral describes it as "partial contains small subunit ribosomal RNA, internal transcribed spacer 1, and 5.8S ribosomal RNA". The stretch from base 1 to 46 matches the Rfam family "Eukaryotic small subunit ribosomal RNA", at positions 1786 to 1831 of the family's 1831-position model. The record is from RNAcentral.